UACAGAGGUCCCAAGCGUUGUUCGGAUUCACUGGGCGUAAAGGGUGCGUAGGUGGUGAGGUAAGUCGGAUGUGAAAGCUCCGAGCUCAACUCGGAAAUGGCAUUGGAAACUACCUUGCUGGAGGGUUUGAGGGGGGACUGGAAUACUUGGUGUAGCAGUGAAAUGCGUAGAUAUCAAGUAGAACACCAGUGGCGAAGGCGAGUCCCUGGAAAACACCUGACACUGAGGCACGAAAGCUAGGGGAGCAAACAG
Molecule: ribosomal RNA, 252 nt
Filed under: uncultured prokaryote
Description: partial 16S ribosomal RNA
Rfam family: Bacterial small subunit ribosomal RNA
Source: RNAcentral